GACGAACCGAGCGAACGUUGUUCGGAAUCACUGGGCUUAAAGGGCGCGUAGGCGGGUGCUCAAGUCCGGGGUGAAAUCCCACAGCUCAACUGUGGAAUUGCCUCGGAUACUGGGUGUCUCGAGGGUGGUAGGGGUAUGCGGAACUAUCGGUGGAGCGGUGAAAUGCGUAGAUAUCAUUUGGAACGCCAAUGGUGAAAACAGCUAGCUGGGAGUGUGCCGACACUGAGACACGAAAGCCAGGGGAGCGAACGGG
RNAcentral lists this ribosomal RNA (253 nucleotides) under uncultured bacterium. Its description in RNAcentral is "partial 16S ribosomal RNA". It matches the Rfam family "Bacterial small subunit ribosomal RNA", at positions 524 to 776 of the family's 1533-position model. The record is from RNAcentral.